Molecule: ribosomal RNA, 97 nt
Filed under: Caerostris extrusa
Lineage: Eukaryota; Metazoa; Arthropoda; Arachnida; Araneae; Araneidae
Source: RNAcentral
GCUGAAUAUACCGGUUCUCGUUAGAUCACCGAAGUCAAGCAUCAUUGGGCGCGGUCAGUAUUUGGGUGGGUGACCACCUGGGAACACCGCGUGCAGU